GAUGAAGAACGCAGCGAAAUGCGAUAAGUAAUGCGAAUUGCAGAAUUCCAGUGAGUCAUCGAAUCUUUGAACGCACAUUGCGCUCUUUGGUAUUCCGAAGGGCAUGCCUGUUCGAGCGUCAUUAUCACCCCUCAAGCCCUCGGCUUGGUGUUGGACGGUUUGGUGGAGGCCCCCUCGGGGGCUCCUGCCCCUCCCAAAGACAAUGACGGCGGCCUCGUUGGACCCCCGGUACACUGAGUUCUUCACGGGACACGUAUCGGACACAUGGGUUUACGGGACACGGUCUGCCUCCCCUCAGGGAGAAUCUUUCUAAGGUUGACCUCGGAUCAGGUAGGGAUACCCGCUGAACUUAAGCAUAUCAAUAAGCGGAGGA
Molecule: unclassified non-coding RNA, 373 nt
Filed under: soil metagenome
Description: partial contains 5.8S ribosomal RNA, internal transcribed spacer 2, and large subunit ribosomal RNA
Rfam family: 5.8S ribosomal RNA (bases 1-121)
Source: RNAcentral